UGAUCACAUCACUUUGAAACACCAAUUCCUGUACAACCACCAAAGUUAAGCAAUAUUGAGCUUAGUCAGUAUCUAGAUGGGUGACCAUUUGGGAAUACCAGGUACUGUAA
Molecule: non-coding RNA, 110 nt
Organism: Acanthosepion pharaonis
Lineage: Eukaryota; Metazoa; Mollusca; Cephalopoda; Sepiida; Sepiidae
Source: the annotation of a GenBank genome assembly